This 279-nucleotide long non-coding RNA is filed under the name Elaeis guineensis (African oil palm). RNAcentral's name for it is "long non-coding RNA (EGUI_LNC063376)". Lineage: Eukaryota; Viridiplantae; Streptophyta; Magnoliopsida; Arecales; Arecaceae. The record is from RNAcentral.
UGAGGUACAUCGAACCAUGAUAAAUUUGAUGUGUUUGUGUGCGUGUGAUCUUAUUCCUCUUCUACAUUUGCUUUUAGUACAUUAGCUCACUGCACCUUCAACAUACUUACAUUUCUGCCUGCACACAUAUAGUUUUAAAUUUAUUAAAAGUUUUAAUAACCUAAUUCACCCUUCCCUCUUGAGUUGUCUAGCUGGACAACAAUAUCUUUUUAAAAAUAAUGUAAUUGAUUUUGUUAAAAUUUAAUAUAGAUAUAUCGUUGAAAUUUUUAUGAAUGACUG